AUUGAACGCUGGCGGCAGGCCUAACACAUGCAAGUCGAGCGGAUGAAGGGAGCUUGCUCCUGGAUUUAGCGGCGGACGGGUGAGUAAUUCCUAGGAAUCUGCCUGGUAGUGGGGGAUAACGUCCGGAAACGGGCGCUAAUACCGCAUACGUCCUGAGGGAGAAAGUGGGGGAUCUUCGGACCUCACGCUAUCAGAUGAGCCUAGGUCGGAUUAGCUAGUUGGUGAGGUAAAGGCCUACCAAGGCGACGAUCCGUAACUGGUCUGAGAGGAUGAUCAGUCACACUAGAACUGAGACGCGGUCCAGACCACUACGGGAGGCAACGGUGGGGAAUAUUGGACAAUGGGCGAAAGCCUGAUCCAACCAAGCCGCGUAUGUGGAAAAGGUCUUCGGAUUGUAAAGCACUUUAAGUUGGGAAGAAGGGCAGUAAGUUAAUACCUUGCUGUUUUGACGUUACCAAAAGAAUAAGCACCGGCUAACUUCGUG
This 484-nucleotide ribosomal RNA is filed under the name uncultured bacterium. Its description in RNAcentral is "partial 16S ribosomal RNA". It matches the Rfam family "Bacterial small subunit ribosomal RNA", at positions 30 to 507 of the family's 1533-position model. The record is from RNAcentral.